Molecule: long non-coding RNA, 313 nt
Filed under: Gossypium barbadense (sea-island cotton)
Lineage: Eukaryota; Viridiplantae; Streptophyta; Magnoliopsida; Malvales; Malvaceae
Description: long non-coding RNA (GBAR_LNC008653)
Source: RNAcentral
GUAACCUUGCUCCAAUGUAAUGGCUUUAAAGAAGAUCUUUUUGGUGCUGCACCAGCUCCUCGUCCACGCCCUCUUCCUUUCAUGUCAGCUGCUUUGCCACCCAACGGUGGAGGUGGAGGAGGUCCAACACCAGGAGCUCCAGGUGGAGGUGGAGGUCCAGGAGCUCCAGGUGGAGGUGGAGGUCCUGGAGCUCGACCUCCAGGAGGUGGUGGUGGAGGUGGUGCGCCAGCCAUAGGAGGUGGUGGGGGUGGGGCUCCAAAUGGGGGAGGAGGUGGAGGUGGGGCACUAGACAUUGGGGGUGGUGGUGGAGGUG